AGUAACGCGUGGGUAACCUGCCUUAUACAGGGGGAUAACAGUCAGAAAUGGCUGCUAAUACCGCAUAAGCGCACAGAGCUGCAUGGCUCAGUGUGAAAAACUCCGGUGGUAUAAGAUGGACCCGCGUUGGAUUAGCUUGCUGGUGGGGUAACGGCCCACCAAGGCGACGAUCCAUAGCCGGCCUAAGAGGGUGAACGGCCACAUUGGGACUGAGACACGGCCCAG
RNAcentral lists this ribosomal RNA (225 nucleotides) under uncultured bacterium. RNAcentral's name for it is "partial 16S ribosomal RNA". It matches the Rfam family "Bacterial small subunit ribosomal RNA", at positions 109 to 334 of the family's 1533-position model. The record is from RNAcentral.